GUGAAAUGACCAAAAAACAAGGGAUCAAAUUUGACUCAGACUAAUGAAGGUUCUACACUCACCUGAAACCUUUGGAGCUUUGGAUUUGGACUGGGACUAUAGCUGUUGACCAACAUGGAAAGGAUUUAGCUAAAAAGCAGUUCCAUUAAAAAUUGUCCCAAUUGCUCAGUCACUUCCAUUUGGCAAGCCAGUGAUAAGCAUCCUUAUUUUUCUGAUUGGUUCAGUCGGGGUAAAGCAUCACACGAAAGAGGCCAAGGUCUAGCGUUUGAUUCCCCC
Molecule: long non-coding RNA, 276 nt
Organism: Myotis brandtii (Brandt's bat)
Lineage: Eukaryota; Metazoa; Chordata; Mammalia; Chiroptera; Vespertilionidae
Exons: 3
Source: RefSeq, a predicted model, not a curated record